UGGCUAUCUCAGUAAUAUGAAAAAGGCACGACCAUUGGUCAUGAAGAAGGGAAUGGGUCAAGUGAAGAAGAUAAGAAAGUUAUAUGAAGAAAAGAACUGUAUACACCUGCCCACCCAAAGUAGAAGGAGUUCCUGGGCCCUUCUGUGUAAUUGGGUUAUGCCAUCUCGCCAGUUGCCGAGGAGAACUGAAUUCUUUGAACUUGUCAGUAAAGGAGAAUACGAUUGGAACAUCAAAAACCAUCGUGAUAUAUUUCGAACAAAUCAAGAAGAUAAUGAUUGUCACAAGAUUAUUAUUGAAAUAAUUUUGGCAUAUAGAGGAGAGAUCAAUGUUAAUGACAGCCUGUGACCUUGGAGCCGUGACCAAACCGUGGGAGAUCUCCAGACAGGUGGCAGAACUUGUAACCAGUGAGUUCUUCGAACAAG
RNAcentral lists this long non-coding RNA (423 nucleotides) under Homo sapiens (human). RNAcentral's name for it is "non-protein coding lnc-TTC30A-2:1". Lineage: Eukaryota; Metazoa; Chordata; Mammalia; Primates; Hominidae. The record is from RNAcentral.